Molecule: ribosomal RNA, 253 nt
Filed under: uncultured bacterium
Lineage: Bacteria
Description: partial 16S ribosomal RNA
Rfam family: Bacterial small subunit ribosomal RNA
Source: RNAcentral
UACGUAGGGUGCGAGCGUUAAUCGGAAUUACUGGGCGUAAAGCGUGCGCAGGCGGUGAUGUAAGACAGGUGUGAAAUCCCCGGGCUUAACCUGGGAACUGCAUUUGUGACUGCAUCGCUGGAGUGCGGCAGAGGGGGAUGGAAUUCCGCGUGUAGCAGUGAAAUGCGUAGAUAUGCGGAGGAACACCGAUGGCGAAGGCAGCACUCUGGGCCGGUACUGACGCUGAGGAGCGAAAGCGUGGGGAGCAAACAGG